AAAGAAUUUAAAGGCAUUUAAAAAAAAAUUGGUAAACUAUACAAUAUUAGACGAUUCGCAUCGAAAAUUAUAUAGAGGUAUUGACUUGUGAUAUAUAAAUUUCUAAAGUUAAAAAACAAAAUUUUUAAUAUGAUUGUGAAUUGAAUCAUCUUAGUAACAAUUAAAUAUAAAAUCAACCGAAAAACUAUAAGUAAUGGUGAAUGAAAUUAGUAAAAAUUUAAUUAAUAAACUCAAAAUCUAAAAAAUGUACGACAAAAGGUAAUUUAAAGUCCUGUAUAGAAAUAAAAGUUUAUUAAAUAAGUAAUAUGUGAAAAUAUACGAAUAGAGGAGAACCACCUUCUAAAUUUAAAAAAUAUAGUUUAAUCGAUAGUGAAAGAGUAUUGUGAAAAAAAUUUGAAAAAAUUUGAAAAAAUUUGAAAAAAUUUGAAUGUCUAAAUUAUUUACUUGAAGUAAAAAUAUACAACAAGAUGCUUUUUGCAGAACGAGUCAGUAAGUUAAAAAUUAUAGCAAAAUUCAUUAAAAAAUUUAGUUUAGUAAAGUUAUAAUUAUUAGACCUGAAACCAAGUGAUCUAAUUAUGAACAAGUUGAUUUUAAUGUAAUAAUUAUUUAAAGACUGAACUUAUAUAUGUAGCAAAAUAUUAAGAAGAUUUGUAAUUAGGAGUGAAAGGCUAAUCAAACUUGGUAAUAGCCGGUUUUUCACGAAAUGUAUUUUAGUACAGUGUUACAAAUAAAUUGAUUUUGGUAAAGUAAAAAGCUUAUUAAAAGGUUUUAACUAAAAAUUUAAUCAAAAAGUUUGUAAUAAUUAGUUUUUAAGCGAAAAGGUUUAAAAACAAAAGGAAAACAAUCCAGAUCGAUUAUUAAGGUAUUAAAUUAUAUAAAUAAAAAGGUUUAAAAAAAUUAAAUAUUUUAAAUAAGCUUAGAAGCAGUUUUUUAUUUGAGAAAGCGUUUUAGCUCAAUGUUAUUUUUAUAUAACUAAAAAUUUAAAGAUAAAAAAAUAUAAACCGAAAUAGCGAAUACAAAAAGUUGUAUGGUAGUGAAACAUUUUGUUAUAAGUUAAUUAAGAGAAAUCAAAACAAAAAUGCGAAUGCUGAUAUGAGUAACGAAAAUUAUGUAAAAAUCAUAAUCAUUUAAAAUCAGGUUUUCAAUGUACUUUCAAUUUCAUUGAGUGAGUCGGUUCUUAAAAAAGUUUACUAAAAAGUUAUUUUGAUAGAUAAAAAAAUAAUAAAAUUUUAUUAAUUGUAAUGUAAACAAACAUUAAAAAUAAAAUUAAAAACAAUUUAAAUUUUAAAAAUAGUAAAUCAAAUUAUUUUUAAUUUUUUCAAGAAAAAAACAAUUAUAAUAAACCGUACUAAAUCCGACACAGGUCUUUUUUAAUAAUGUUUGAAAAAAUUGUAUUUAAGGAACUUGGCAAAUUAAUUCUGUAUGUUCGCUAAAAAGAAUAUCUAACUACAACAUUAGAUACCAUAUUAAAAAGCAACGACUGGUUAACAAAACCACAGGACUUUGCUAAUUUAAAAAAGAAGUAUAAAGUCUGAAGUCUGCCCAGUGCUUAAAAAUGAAAUGAUAAGUUUAAAUAUUUGUUAAUAAGUUUAAGUAAACGGCGGUUCUAACUAUAAGAAUCCUCAGGUAGCGAAAUUCCUUGACGGGUAAGUUCCGUCCUGCAUGAAUGGCUUAACGAUUGCUUUACUGUCUCAAAUACAAAUUCAGUGAAAUUACAAUAUUCAUGAAAAUGUGAAUUUUUUACAAUAAGACGGAAAGACCCUAGAUCCUUUACUUUUAUUUUAUAUUGUGAUUAAUUAUUAUCUAUUUAGAAUAAAUGGAAGUAAAUAACUUUAUGAAAUACCAUUUUUUUAAUUUUUAUAACUUAUUUAAAUUGUGAAAAAAAGUGUAAAAAAGAAAGUUUACUUGGGAUGAGUACCUCCUAAAAAGUAACGGAGGUGUGCGAAGGUGAAAUUUAUAAAUAUAAUAGUAAAAUUUUUGCUUGAUAAUAAAAUUAAUUAAUUAAAUUAGGAUGAAAAUCAGCUAUAAUGACCCGAAUUUAUGUGUGGAAUUAAAUUUGUUUAACAGCUAAAAGGAACUCUAGGGAUAACAGAUUCAUCAUGAUUAAAAGUUCAUAUUAAAAUCAUGGUUUGAUACCUCGAUGUCGACUCAUCUUAUCCUGAAAUUGAAAUUAAUUUCAAGGGUCUAGUUGUUCGCUAGUUAAAAAGGUACGUGAGUUGGGUUCAGAACGUCGUGAGACAGUUCGGUCCCUAUCUAUUGUGAAUAAAAAAAUUAGAAAGAAUUAUUUUUUGUACGAGAGGACCAAAAUAUAUUAACCACUAGUGAAUUGAUUAAAAAAUACUGUUUUAUUGUCAAUUAGCUACGUUAGUUUAAUUUAAACACUGAUUGCAUCAAUUGUGUAAAAAUAUCUUUUUUAUUUUUUGAGCAUUCUUUGCGAAAAAAAGAUAGAUCGAGUUAAAUUUUAUUUUUAGUAAUAAAAAUAUAAUAACAACGAAAUUGUCAAAAUAAUAAAAUCUUUAAUUAACU
RNAcentral lists this ribosomal RNA (2526 nucleotides) under Periphykon beckeri. RNAcentral's name for it is "large subunit ribosomal RNA". It matches the Rfam family "Bacterial large subunit ribosomal RNA". Lineage: Eukaryota; Rhodophyta; Florideophyceae; Ceramiales; Rhodomelaceae. The record is from RNAcentral.